UACAACUUUCAACAACGGAUCUCUUGGCUCUCGCAUCGAUGAAGAACGCAGCGAAAUGCGAUACGUAAUGUGAAUUGCAGAAUUCAGUGAAUCAUCG
This 97-nucleotide ribosomal RNA is filed under the name Lactarius sp. 'Bremen D'. RNAcentral describes it as "partial 5.8S ribosomal RNA". It matches the Rfam family "5.8S ribosomal RNA", at positions 1 to 94 of the family's 154-position model. Rfam says of the family: 5.8S ribosomal RNA (5.8S rRNA) is a component of the large subunit of the eukaryotic ribosome. The record is from RNAcentral. Lineage: Eukaryota; Fungi; Basidiomycota; Agaricomycetes; Russulales; Russulaceae.